GACGAACGCUGGCGGCGUGCUUAACACAUGCAAGUCGAACGGAAAGGCUCCAGCUUGCUGGAGUACUCGAGUGGCGAACGGGUGAGUAACACGUGGGUAAUCUGCCCUGCACUCUGGGAUAAGCCUGGGAAACUGGGUCUAAUACUGGAUAUGACCUUUCUCCUUAUGGGGUUUGGUGGAAAGUUUUUCGGUGUAGGAUGAGCCCGCGGCCUAUCAGCUUGUUGGUGGGGUGAUGGCCUACCAAGGCGACGACGGGUAGCCGGCCUGAGAGGGUGAUCGGCCACAUUGGGACUGAGAUACGGCCCAGACUCCUACGGGAGGCAGCAGUGGGGAAUAUAGCACAAUGGGCGGAAGCCUGAUGCAGCGACGCCGCGUGAGGGAUGACGGCCUUCGGGUUGUAAACCUCUUUCAGCAGGGACGAAGCGUAAGUGACGGUACCUGCAGAAGAAGCACCGGCUAACUAUGUG
This 467-nucleotide ribosomal RNA is filed under the name uncultured bacterium. RNAcentral describes it as "partial 16S ribosomal RNA". It matches the Rfam family "Bacterial small subunit ribosomal RNA", at positions 28 to 507 of the family's 1533-position model. The record is from RNAcentral.